AUUGCCCGAGCUCCAUUCACAGCACACAAAUCAAACCUAGUAUUCCUCACCCUUCUUCUCCGUCAAUGACUCAACGGGCUACUUCUUCUUCUCCUUUCCUCACCCACAGCACCACCGCCAGCCACCCUAACCGCCGCAGCUACCUUCUUGUCUCUUUUCACAGAAAAUGCAGCUUCCGGAAUGGCGGUCCAUGAUGACUGCAAGUUGCGGUUUUUGGAACUCAAGACAAAAAGGACUCACAGGUUCAUAGUUUUCAAGAUUGAGGAGAAUCAAAAGCAAGUCAUUGUGGAGAAGCUUGGUGAGCCAGCUCAAGGCUACGAAGAUUUCGCUGCUUGCCUCCCUCAUAAUGAGUGCCGCUAUGCUAUAUAUGAUUUCGAGUUCUUGACCGAAGGCAAUGUCCCCAAGA
Non-coding RNA from Arachis ipaensis, 406 nucleotides. Lineage: Eukaryota; Viridiplantae; Streptophyta; Magnoliopsida; Fabales; Fabaceae. The record is from RefSeq and is a predicted model, not a curated record.